GGCGCCGCUGGGCCGGUUGACGGUCGGCGGGCGGUUUUCCGGCCGUCUGCCGCCCCUGUGGCGGGCGCUGGCGCUGAUCCAGGCGGCGCUUC
This 92-nucleotide transfer RNA is filed under the name Roseisalinus antarcticus. RNAcentral describes it as "tRNA-Asn". The record is from RNAcentral. Lineage: Bacteria; Pseudomonadati; Pseudomonadota; Alphaproteobacteria; Rhodobacterales; Roseobacteraceae.